RNAcentral lists this ribosomal RNA (253 nucleotides) under uncultured bacterium. Its description in RNAcentral is "partial 16S ribosomal RNA". It matches the Rfam family "Bacterial small subunit ribosomal RNA", at positions 524 to 776 of the family's 1533-position model. The record is from RNAcentral.
GACGUAGGGCGCGAGCGUUGUCCGGAUUUAUUGGGCGUAAAGAGCUCGUAGGCGGCUUGUCGCGUCGUCCGUGAAAACUUGGGGCUCAACCCCAAGCUUGCGGUCGAUACGGGCAGGCUCGAGUUCGGUAGGGGAGACUGGAAUUCCUGGUGUAGCGGUGAAAUGCGCAGAUAUCAGGAGGAACACCGGUGGCGAAGGCGGCAUUCUGGACCGACAUUGACGCUGAGGAGCGAAAGCCAGGGGAGCAAACGGG